Molecule: ribosomal RNA, 180 nt
Filed under: uncultured Glomeromycotina
Lineage: Eukaryota; Fungi; Glomeromycota
Description: partial small subunit ribosomal RNA
Rfam family: Eukaryotic small subunit ribosomal RNA (bases 46-180)
Source: RNAcentral
GGGUUCGCCCAUUGGUCAGGCUUAAUUGUCUGUACUGGUGAGAUGAAUCUCUACCUUCUGAGGAACUUUCAUGCCAUUUAUUUGGUGUGAUUGGAAAUCAGGACUGUUACUUUGAAAAAAUUAGAGUGUUUAAAGCAGGCUUACGCUUGAAUACAUUAGCAUGGAAUAAUAGAAUAGGAC